CCUACGGGAGGCAGCAGUGAGGAAUAUUGGUCAAUGGGCGUAAGCCUGAACCAGCCAAGUCGCGUGAGGGAUGAAGGUUCUAUGGAUCGUAAACUUCUUUUAUAAGGGAAUAAAGUGUGGGACGUGUCUUGUUUUGUAUGUACCUUAUGAAUAAGGAUCGGCUAACUCCGUGCCAGCAGCCGCGGUAAUACGGAGGAUCCGAGCGUUAUCCGGAUUUAUUGGGUUUAAAGGGUGCGUAGGCGGCCUGUUAAGUUAGCGGUGAAAGUCUGUGGCUCAACCAUGGAAUUGCCGUUGAAACUGGGGGGCUAGAGUAUAUUUGAGGCAGGCGGAAUGCGUGGUGUAGCGGUGAAAUGCUUAGAGAUCACGCAGAACCCCGAUUGCGAAGGCAGCCUGCCAAGCCAUGACUGACGCUGAUGCACGAAAGCGUGGGGAGCAAACAGGAUUAGAUACCCCAGUAGUC
Molecule: ribosomal RNA, 460 nt
Filed under: uncultured bacterium
Lineage: Bacteria
Description: partial 16S ribosomal RNA
Rfam family: Bacterial small subunit ribosomal RNA
Source: RNAcentral